GAGUAACACGUGGGUAACCUGCCUGUAAGACUGGGAUAACUCCGGGAAACCGGAGCUAAUACCGGAUAGUUCCUUGAACCGCAUGGUUCAAGGAUGAAAGACGGUUUCGGCUGUCACUUACAGAUGGACCCGCGGCGCAUUAGCUAGUUGGUGAGGUAACGGCUCACCAAGGCGACGAUGCGUAGCCGACCUGAGAGGGUGAUCGGCCACACUGGGACUGAGACACGGCCCAGACUCCUACGGGAGGCAGCAGUAGGGAAUCUUCCGCAAUGGACGAAAGUCUGACGGAGCAACGCCGCGUGAGUGAUGAAGGUUUUCGGAUCGUAAAGCUCUGUUGUUAGGGAAGAACAAGUGCAAGAGUAACUGCUUGCACCUUGACGGUACCUAACCAGAAAGCCACGGCUAACUACGUGCCAGCAGCCGCGGUAAUACGUAGGUGGCAAGCGUUGUCCGGAAUUAUUGGGCGUAAAGGGCUCGCAGGCGGUUUCUUAAGUCUGAUGUGAAAGCCCCCGGCUCAACCGGGGAGGGUCAUUGGAAACUGGGAAACUUGAGUGCAGAAGAGGAGAGUGGAAUUCCACGUGUAGCGGUGAAAUGCGUAGAGAUGUGGAGGAACACCAGUGGCGAAGGCGACUCUCUGGUCUGUAACUGACGCUGAGGAGCGAAAGCGUGGGGAGCGAACAGGAUUAGAUACCCUGGUAGUCCACGCCGUAAACGAUGAGUGCUAAGUGUUAGGGGGUUUCCGCCCCUUAGUGCUGCAGCUAACGCAUUAAGCACUCCGCCUGGGGAGUACGGUCGCAAGACUGAAACUCAAAGGAAUUGACGGGGGCCCGCACAAGCGGUGGAGCAUGUGGUUUAAUUCGAAGCAACGCGAAGAACCUUACCAGGUCUUGACAUCCUCUGACAACCCUAGAGAUAGGGCUUUCCCUUCGGGGACAGAGUGACAGGUGGUGCAUGGUUGUCGUCAGCUCGUGUCGUGAGAUGUUGGGUUAAGUCCCGCAACGAGCGCAACCCUUGAUCUUAGUUGCCAGCAUUCAGUUGGGCACUCUAAGGUGACUGCCGGUGACAAACCGGAGGAAGGUGGGGAUGACGUCAAAUCAUCAUGCCCCUUAUGACCUGGGCUACACACGUGCUACAAUGGACAGAACAAAGGGCUGCGAGACCGCAAGGUUUAGCCAAUCCCACAAAUCUGUUCUCAGUUCGGAUCGCAGUCUGCAACUCGACUGCGUGAAGCUGGAAUCGCUAGUAAUCGCGGAUCAGC
RNAcentral lists this ribosomal RNA (1258 nucleotides) under Bacillus sp. FXY05. RNAcentral describes it as "bacterial SSU rRNA". It matches the Rfam family "Bacterial small subunit ribosomal RNA", at positions 108 to 1353 of the family's 1533-position model. The record is from RNAcentral. Lineage: Bacteria; Bacillati; Bacillota; Bacilli; Caryophanales; Bacillaceae.